GCCUUUGUGGUGUAACGGUAGCACAUUCGGUUGGUAUUCGAGAGACCCGGGGUUCGAGUCGUGCCAAGGGCA
This 72-nucleotide transfer RNA is filed under the name Stegodyphus mimosarum. It matches the Rfam family "tRNA". Rfam says of the family: Transfer RNA (tRNA) molecules are approximately 80 nucleotides in length. Their secondary structure includes four short double-helical elements and three loops (D, anti-codon, and T loops). Lineage: Eukaryota; Metazoa; Arthropoda; Arachnida; Araneae; Eresidae. The record is from Rfam by way of RNAcentral.